Molecule: ribosomal RNA, 434 nt
Filed under: uncultured bacterium
Lineage: Bacteria
Description: bacterial SSU rRNA
Rfam family: Bacterial small subunit ribosomal RNA
Source: RNAcentral
AUUGAACGCUGGCGGCAUGCCUUACACAUGCAAGUCGAACGGCAGCGCGGGGCAACCUGGCGGCGAGUGGCGAACGGGUGAGUAAUAUAUCGGAACGUGCCCUGGAGUGGGGAUAACGUAGCGAAGUUACGCUAAUACCGCAUACGAUCCAAGGAUGAAAGCAGGGGACCUUCGGGCCUUGUGCUCCUGGAGCGGCCGAUAUCUGAUUAGCUAGUUGGUGGGGUAAAAGCCUACCAAGGCGACGAUCAGUAGCUGGUCUGAGAGGACGACCAGCCACACUGGAACUGAGACACGGUCCAGACUCCUACGGGAGGCAGCAGUGGGGAAUUUUGGACAAAUGGGGGGCGAACCCUAGAUCCAGCAAUGCCGCGUGUGUGAAGAAGGCCUUCGGUUGUAAGACACUUUGUUCAGGACGAAACGGUUAGAGGUUAAGU